CUAUGCCUACGGGGGGCAGCAGUGGGGGAUAUUGCACAAUGGGGGGAACCCUGAUGCAGCGACGCCGCGUGGGUGAAGGAGUAUUUCGGUAUGUAAAGCCCUAUCGGCAGGGAAGAAGAAAGACGGUACCUGACUAAGAAGCCCCGGCUAACUACGUGCCAGCAGCCGCGGUAAUACGUAGGGGGCGAGCGUUAUCCGGAUUCACUGGGUGUAAAGGGAGCGUAGACGGCCAAGCAAGCCAGGGGUGAAAGCCCGGGGCCCAACCCCGGGACUGCCCUUGGAACUGCAUGGCUGGAGUGCGGGAG
RNAcentral lists this ribosomal RNA (305 nucleotides) under uncultured bacterium. Its description in RNAcentral is "bacterial SSU rRNA". It matches the Rfam family "Bacterial small subunit ribosomal RNA", at positions 333 to 654 of the family's 1533-position model. The record is from RNAcentral.